AGGGCUAUCAGAUGAAGGCAGCAACGAAAACACCACCACAAGACCAACUUCAGGCUGGAGCUGAUGAUGCCACACAGCGAGAAAAAAGAAAAUAGACUCUACUUAGAAAUGAAACUCAACUAAAGGUAAAAGUUGUCAGGAACAUCUCCAAGAAAGCCAGAGUCAGCCUCUAAACUUUGCAUCAAGAACGCAAUGGCUUCCCUGAGGGCCCAGGGACGCGUGGCAGCUGUGAGGCAGCCCCUUCUCUGCUGUCGAGGAACUGGACACUUCUCCUGUCCCUUCCCACAAGGUAUAAUAUUAGGCAGAAACCCAAUAUAAAAAGAAAAGCAGAGUUGUUGUAGAUUCAUCGAGGGUUGGCGACCUGGUUCCAAUGAGCCAUCUCCCUGUUCCGACAGGGGCUUCCUGGAGCUCCUGCAACCCCAGGCAUUAGUUCCGGUGCAGUUCUAGGAUCAGAUCAAUUCACUCGACAACAAGAGAAACAAAUGGAGAUUCCUACACAAAGACUUUCAAGCACAAAGAAAUCCUGCUGCCUGUAAAGCGGAGCUGCCUCAGCCCUUGAUGAACGACAGAAAAUACCACCUACUGCCAGACCUCAACGCCUCACAAAACUCUCACCCACCUACUGCUUUUAGCUCACAUUCCAGGAAUUCAGAUGAAGUGAAGUGCUCUCAUGGGGACCAGGCAUGGUUAUGCCAGUCCACUGCCCUGCAAGCCUCAAGGGAAGCCAACUGCCCUUCAGCAAGUCACACCUGCCUUGGUGGAGGCCUUGAUUGGAAGUGCCACACGCUACAUGUCCAGUCCUGAGCGGGAGAAUCGGUGUAGGGACGUUCUGGGGAUGCCAGCUGUGGCCAGAUCAGGUCCAACUACAGAAGAAUAAUGAAGACUCCACCUGAGGGCUGGAAAAACAAAACCUCAAGUGUGAGGCAGCCAACCUGUUACCUCGAGGGACUGUUCCGCAGCACAGCGGGGCCAUGGGAACAGCAGCAGACACCCCGACCUCCUCGCUACCUGUGUGUGUAUUAACACGCCGGCCUCCUCGCUACCUAUCAACUAUGGCCUGA
RNAcentral lists this long non-coding RNA (1061 nucleotides) under Homo sapiens (human). Its description in RNAcentral is "novel transcript". Lineage: Eukaryota; Metazoa; Chordata; Mammalia; Primates; Hominidae. The record is from RNAcentral.